UACGUAGGGCGCAAGCGUUGUCCGGAAUUAUUGGGCGUAAAGAGCGUGUAGGCGGCCAGGUAGGUCUGCUGUGAAAACUCGAGGCUCAACCUCGAGACGUCGGCGGAAACCAUCUGGCUAGAGUCCGGAAGAGGAGAGUGGAAUUCCUGGUGUAGCGGUGAAAUGCGCAGAUAUCGGGAGGAACACCAACGGCGAAGGCAGCACUCUGGGCUGGAACUGACGCUGAGGAGCGAAAGCGUGGGUAGCAAACAGG
This 253-nucleotide ribosomal RNA is filed under the name uncultured bacterium. Its description in RNAcentral is "partial 16S ribosomal RNA". It matches the Rfam family "Bacterial small subunit ribosomal RNA", at positions 524 to 776 of the family's 1533-position model. The record is from RNAcentral.